Molecule: long non-coding RNA, 853 nt
Organism: Quercus lobata
Lineage: Eukaryota; Viridiplantae; Streptophyta; Magnoliopsida; Fagales; Fagaceae
Exons: 5
Source: RefSeq, a predicted model, not a curated record
AGUUGUGCAAGUUGUCCCAGGAUCAUCACACUCACAAGACAGCGUGCAGGAGGAGUUAAGGGCCGCCUUUGCGGCUGAGCAAGCAAGAGGGGAGGGAGGAGAUGAUGAUGAUGAGACACAACCGCCUUCUCCAAAAGAUUUGGUCCAACAAACCCUACUAUCUAGUAAUGGGCGUGCAAAAGAUUCGGUUCAGGAAACCCCAGUAUCCAGUAAUUUAAAUAAAAAGCGUGGGAUAAUGCUAAUGCAGUGAAUAUGGUCUCUUCCAGAGAAGAAGAAAAUUACAUGUGGGUUAAAUGGGAGCGGCCAACUGAUUGGGGAGAGGGGGCAAACAUUCAAAAGGUGAUUGGGCACUUUUUGCAUUUGCCACACCUAUUGCCCACUUAUGCCAAUUAAUUGGACGCAUGUCCCUCAUAGCUGCAAAGAAGAGGCCUGGAUAGAGAUAGAGAAAAGGUGGAUCAUUGACCCAGAAAUUAUCAAACCAGCUAAUCAAAUGAACUGGGCAAUGCACUUACUAGGGGAAUUGAGAAAGAACCGAAGGAGCAAGUUAAAAAAGAAAUGCUACCCACAAGAUGCGUCGAAAGAUGAUGUCCUUAAAAAGAUACCACAUCGGGCUCAGAAGCAGGACUACGACGCGCUAGUUGACUAUUGGUUUGAUUCUAAAACGCAGAUAUUAGUUGAUACGAACAAGAGAAGUCAUGGGUUUUAGAAGGAUAUAGCGAGGUCGAGGCCUAUAAGUUUUGCCCAAACUGCUGAUAAUAUGGCAAAAGAAAGUGGACAAGCAGUGGAGCGUGUAGAUGUUUUUGCAAAAGUAUACCGCACAAAAGAUGGGAAUCCUGUUAGUGAUGAAGUGUGA